This is a long non-coding RNA of Belonocnema kinseyi, 2081 nucleotides long. RefSeq lists it as uncharacterized. The transcript has 4 exons. NCBI's taxonomy places the organism in Eukaryota, Metazoa, Arthropoda, Insecta, Hymenoptera, Cynipidae. The record is from RefSeq and is a predicted model, not a curated record.
UCCUAUCGCACCGUCUUACUUCUUCUUACUCCUUCCUUCUAACGUAUAUUUAACGAGAAACUCGCUCAAUAUUUUUCGCAGUCAGUGUCGUUGAAAGUUGCACCAGGACUUGCAUCUGGACACUGCAUUUUUCAAGAGUUGGUUCACCAGAAAAAUGGCUCUAAACGUACCUGGUGCUAGGCUAUGUAUCAGUGAAAAAAAAAGCCGAGAAUGUUAAUUCUUUUUUCUUGCCACAAAAAAAUAUUGCAAAGGGAAUUGGAAAUCAGGAAAAUAUUAAACCAAUAAAGGUCAAUGGAUUAAAAGUGGAGAAACUGUUAGAAAGAUCUUUCUAUUUCGAAGCUGAUUUAAAAUGAAUGGAUAUAAUCGGAAUGGCCAUCUUGCACAUUGUGUCACUCUAUAUCCUAAUGAUAUUCCCGUUCCGUGAAAAAACUACUUUUCUUCUACAAGACUGUGCGAGAUAUGGACUUAUCAAGGAAAGGACAAGUAUAAAAUUAACGCUAUUGAAAUGAAAUUCUCGCACAUAAUGUGUCAGAAACGAGAUAAUCUUUAAAGAUUGUGGUACAGAAGAGACACUAGUUGACAUAUGGGAAAAAAAUCUGUUAAAAAGGUUCGGGCAUGUUGAGAGAAUGUAAGAUCGACGACUAACGAACAAAUAGUUUAUAAAAAGAAUCCCAGUAGAGUGCAUGGAGCCUGAAAUAAAAGACCUUGGAUACUGACACGUCUACACCGAAAGGGAAAUAUCUUAAUUGUAUAUAUACAAAUAUUUUAGAGAAACAGGCUUUUAAGAUAGAGAACGAAGCAUAUUUCAUUAGUCACUCCACGUUCAGAAAGCUAGAAGAUGGACUCUGAGAUUUCAGUGUGAGAGACCACCCCACAGUGGGAGGAAAAGCACAUUUUUUGGAUAAAAAUCGACUUACAGUGCAAUUCUGAGUGGAUUUUGGUUUUUCUGUUUUAGAAUUGACCGUAAGGCUUCCAGGGAAACUCAUCUAAAUGUCAGGGAAAAGUCAGAGAACUGUCAGAAAAAUUAGAAUAUUUAAAGUUGUGGCCACCCUGAUUAUGAAAUUACAGACGACGAAAGCUCUAAUGUCAUAGUUAAAAUAGAUCGACCACGCUUAUCGUUCGAGAAGUGCUCAAAUAAAAAUAAAAUAAGACGAGCAACAGAACUAGCUUCGAACCAUGCAUAUGAUGAACUGCAAAUGGUUUUGAAAGUAAAACAAAUAGAAACACCUAAGGUAAACGAUGCUGAAUCAGAAAUUAAAACUGAAGAGAGUAAUUACAAUGAUCGUGAAAGAAAUCAAGCAUUGGUUAUGUUUACUGAUGUUCGUCUUACGCAAGAGAAAUAACGAAAAAUGAGAGAGCAUAAUUUAUAAUUUUUUUGAAGUGAAAUGUAUCCACCUUACGAUGACAUAACAAAAGGCAAGCAAGAUUGUUACCCUAAUCACAUCGAAAUCAAUAAUUCAGGAGCAAAUGUUCAUUUUAUUUCUUUACUUCAUCAUACAAUUCGCAGGAAACUUCAGCUUAUUAAUAAAAAAGAACUUCAAAUUUUAAAGCAGGAACAAAUACAUUUUUAAGGAAAAUGGGGUGCGGGCACAGAUGGUGAACAACAAACGACAAGACAGUCGUGGUCCUUAGAAGAAUACUGUGACAACUCUGAUCCGUCUGGCAAGUCAGUUUCAUAACAUAUUUUGUACCACUUAGGUUGCGAGCUAGUAGUAAAAUUCUGUGGGUUAAUUCCAAACCAAAUUCAGUAUCUUAUUGCCAUUCUAUCAGUUUUUAGUUUAUAAAAGAAACUGUUUCAGUAAAAACAAGUAACUAUCAAUAUUAUAAUGCAAUGCUAGAAGAAAAGAAAAUCAUUGUUUGGAGUCUCAUAAUAUGAAUUUUAACAUAAAAUUUAAUAUGAAAUGUAGUAUGCCUGAUGGUAAAGCAGGUAAUGCGAUAAAAGGGCAAGUAUCUUCUUCUUCCAGCAAUUUAUGUGGUUCUAAGCCUAAUAGAAUGAAUGAUGUUGAUAUGGUAUUAAAAACUAAGUGUGAAAUAGAAUUUUACGCAUUUGGUGUUCCUAUAUUACAAAGCGGGAUUCGUUU